Molecule: ribosomal RNA, 253 nt
Filed under: uncultured bacterium
Lineage: Bacteria
Description: partial 16S ribosomal RNA
Rfam family: Bacterial small subunit ribosomal RNA
Source: RNAcentral
UACGUAGGGUGCAAGCGUUAUCCGGAUUCACUGGGCUUAAAGGGCGCGUAGGCGGGCAGGUAAGUCAGUGGUGAAAUCUCCGGGCUUAACUCGGAAACUGCCAUUGAUACUAUCUGUCUUGAAUACCGUAGAGGUUAGCGGAAUAUGUCAUGUAGCGGUGAAAUGCUUAGAUAUGACAUAGAACACCAAUUGCGAAGGCAGCUGGCUAGACGAAUAUUGACACUGAUGCACGAAAGCGUGGGGAGCAAACAGG